Amphimedon queenslandica is the source of this 480-nucleotide long non-coding RNA. RefSeq lists it as uncharacterized. The transcript has 4 exons. The record is from RefSeq and is a predicted model, not a curated record. Lineage: Eukaryota; Metazoa; Porifera; Demospongiae; Haplosclerida; Niphatidae.
GUAUAUUUUAAUAUAUUCCUCCUCAUUAGUUGCUACUAUUACAUCAACUACUGCUACAAUUGAAACUGAAACUCCAUCAACAAAUGAAAGCAUUGAUGAUAACAUUGUACCUCUUGUGGCUGGUGCAGUCAGUACUAGUGUUGUAUUAGUGAUAUUGUUCAUAUUAACAAUAUGUUUCGGCACGAUAAUUGCUAUUAAAAGAAAAAGCAAGACAACAAAAGAGGUUGUACAUUUUGAACAAGCUGAUUCCAAUGAAUAUGAAGAGACUCAUAAUAUAGCAAUUACCACAUCACCUGUACAACUGACUAGUAACAGAGCAAUAGAUGAUGAGAAUGAUAACGAAGCAAUAGAUGAUGAGAAUGAUAACGAAGCAAUAGGUGAUGAGAAUGAUAACAGAGCAAUAGGUGAUGAGAAUCCAUAUCAAGUUACUGUGAGUGAGUUCCUUACUUGUGAACACACCAUUCCUUCACACAAUGUUGA